RNAcentral lists this long non-coding RNA (209 nucleotides) under Mytilus galloprovincialis (Mediterranean mussel). Lineage: Eukaryota; Metazoa; Mollusca; Bivalvia; Mytilida; Mytilidae. The record is from RNAcentral.
CCCCGAGUUUUUUUACUAUUUCGAACUAUAAAUUCAACUUUAACUUACUCCUCAGAAUGUCAAAAGUGAAACAAAUCGGUUUAGACCUCAUCAUUCUAGUCAUAAUGUGCAUUUGUUUUGAUAAAUUGCUCGCUUACCGUGCACAAUUUAAUGGAAAAAUCUCGUGAUUUCUCCAUUUAAUUUAAUUCACUUCUUUGAAUAUUCCGCAG